UAAUACGUAGGGCGCGAGCGUUGUCCGGAAUUAUUGGGCGUAAAGGGCUUGUAGGCGGUUUGUCGCGUCUGCCGUGAAAUUCCCUGGCUUAACUGGGGGCGUGCGGUGGGUACGGGCAGGCUUGAGUGCGGUAGGGGAGACUGGAAUUCCUGGUGUAGCGGUGGAAUGCGCAGAUAUCAGGAGGAACACCGGUGGCGAAGGCGGGUCUCUGGGCCGUUACUGACGCUGAGGAGCGAAAGCAUGGGGAGCGAACAGGAUUAGAUACCCUGGUAGUCCAUGCUGUAAACGUUGGGCACUAGGUGUGGGGACCGUCCUUGGUUUCUGCGCCGUAGCUAACGCUUUAAGUGCCCCGCCUGGGGAGUACGGCCGCAAGGCUAAAACUCAAAUGAAUUGACGG
RNAcentral lists this ribosomal RNA (397 nucleotides) under bacterium enrichment culture. RNAcentral's name for it is "bacterial SSU rRNA". It matches the Rfam family "Bacterial small subunit ribosomal RNA", at positions 521 to 916 of the family's 1533-position model. The record is from RNAcentral.